UAUUCCUUGUAUUAUCAUUUAUUUUAUUGGUUGGCAAAGUGAAUUAUUUCUCGUAUUAUGAGUUUCUUAGUUAGAUGAUGAGACCUUGUCACAGUUGUGUUGCGAGAAUGGACUAUGCCGCCGCAGAUGAACCCUGGGAUGAUUCGCUGGUGCUGCCGCGUGCCGCUCGCCUGAAUUUGCUGCGGAAACCAGAUCCCGUAUCACCGACUCACCGUAUGUGUCGGUCCGCGCCCAGCCUCUGCAAUUCUCAAUCAUCCCUAGCUGGGCUACCACUGCACUACGCAAUUACCGCUACCACCGUCAGGUCAGGUGAACGAAAACUCUCAGGUUCGUAGCCAUCUCGGGUUGAGCUGAUGCUUUGUGGACUUGUUGCUUAAAUUUAGCCCACCACACGAAAACAUGGCCCAUGAAACGCUCCACAAAUGGCUCAAUAUGCGUAUAGACAGAACUGAGGUUCCUGCACGAGCCCAUGCGGUCAUGCGGCACAGUAUCACUACGCGUCUACGCCUCCGCCACAGUCGCUAGCAAUACGAGUACCAAACAGCCCAGAGAGCAAGGACUAGCUGAUGAUAUAAAGAUUACUCUGAACGCAACGACAUGUAGCAAGCUGUGACGAAAAGCAGUAGCACUGGUGGGUCCGGUGCUUUCUUCUGAACCUUUGAAGACAUAAGCGUAUCUGAGCUUGUCCCUUUUUUUUUCUUACUGAAUUUCAAAGUUGAUUCAGCGAAUUUCAGUGAAUUCUUCCGAUACGCUUAUCUGUUGCAAGCUCUGUCUAAUCAUAAAAGACAUACUCUAUUCAUCAGCAUUAUUGAAUGAGAUUAAAGCAUACUCAAGAUUUUUUAUUGAUUGUUUCCGUUCUCUAUAUAAUAUUUUUUUUAAUUUGACUAACUGAUGUUAUUGUUUACUCCAUUCAAUAUGUCUUGUUAAACACGGCCAAUGAAGUGAUCGAUUAGAAGAGAGUUCACAACGACUGAUUGAACAAACAGAGAUUAUAGAAUGACAUAAUUUCACGGUACAGAGACUAAAUAAGAGAAAUUUUG
Molecule: long non-coding RNA, 1040 nt
Filed under: Zea mays
Lineage: Eukaryota; Viridiplantae; Streptophyta; Magnoliopsida; Poales; Poaceae
Description: drought responsive lncRNA
Source: RNAcentral